Teleopsis dalmanni is the source of this 1391-nucleotide long non-coding RNA. RefSeq lists it as uncharacterized. The transcript is spliced from 4 exons. Lineage: Eukaryota; Metazoa; Arthropoda; Insecta; Diptera; Diopsidae. The record is from RefSeq and is a predicted model, not a curated record.
UAUAAAACAAAUUCUAAAAACAUUGUAAACAAAACUUUUCGGACAUGCUUUUGAAAUGUACUGCCUUGACAUUUUAUAGGCGUCGUAAUGAUAUGCUUUUUCGAGAAAUUUCAAAAUCUGUAAGUGAUAUGGGAAAACAUCUAUGGAAUAUGAAUCCGCUUACUAAAAAACAUGAAGGUGAUGAAUCCAAGCAGUCAACCAAUGUUAGCUUACAGCUACCAUUCACUAUGAGAUCCUCUAACAACUUGACAUCGCCUGCUUUUGUAAAAUCUUCUAUGGCGUUUCGUCGAUGGACUCAUGUUGAGCAGGUGAACUAUGUGGCAUUAUUGAGAAAAAAUGUGAGUGCCUCAUAUAUUUUUCACCGCGAUACAGCUGGGAUUAAAAGUUUUGGAGUUGCUACCACUUUUCCUCUAAAUAGCCGGGUUUGAAAAUUUGGCUGGGUUUAAUGCCGCUAUGAAGUUCAACUGAUUUCACAAAUAUUUUCAUCUAUUUUAUGAAUGCGGAGCCGUAUAUUAAAUAUUUCUUGCUAAUGAUACCUAUAGUAAAUCGAGGAUGCUUUUGACGGUUAUCGAAAAUAACUCCAGCAUAAGAGUAUCUCCCACAAAUUACUAUGCCAACGGCACACAGUUAGUGAAAUGAAAAUAACUGAUACCGAAAUACGAUCAUUUCCGAACUAGUAUAGGUAUCACGUACACAUUUUACCUAUAGUAAAUCGAGGAUGCACGUAACGGUUAUCGAAAAUAACUCCUGCAUAAGAGUAUCUCCUGCAAAUUACUAUGCCAACGGCACACAGUUAGAGAAAUGAAAAUAACUGAUACCGAAAUACGAUCAUUUCCGAACUAAUAUAGGUAUUAUGUACACAGUUCACCUAUAGUAAAUCGAGGAUGCAUUUGACGGUUAUCGAAAAUAACUCCUGCAUAAGAGUAUCUCCUGCAAAUUGCUAUGUCAAUGGGUAUUACGUACACAUUUCACAUGAACAUAUUUUUAGAAAAAGGAUUCAUUUUGCAGAUGAUUUGAGUGCUGUGCUGACCUAAGAAUUUGAUACAUAUGGAGGUUUAUAUGAACAGUAUUUGUGAGAUUAGUUGGAGAGCGGAAAGUUUAUGUUUCAUGUCUUUUAUUCUAUUCUUACCAGAUUUGACGUACCAGUGGGUUUGCUUGAUGGAAAUUAACAAUAUUCGUACUCCCACGCCCUUACUUGACGUACAUUCACGCCCUUGAUGAACGAAAAAUGCUUAAGUUGUCUAAUUUGAACAGUAAAAAAAUAUUUCUAAUUUCAUUGUUCCUAGAAAAUAUCAUCUAAUUUGAAUAAUAGAAAAAUUCGCAACAUUUCAAUGCAUAUAAAAAAGAUCCUGUAAUUUAGUUUAUAUCUAACAGAAUAAAUCUUAAGAAUU